This 1134-nucleotide long non-coding RNA is filed under the name Cyanistes caeruleus (blue tit). Its description in RNAcentral is "lncRNA (ENSCCEG00000005800.1)". The record is from RNAcentral. Lineage: Eukaryota; Metazoa; Chordata; Aves; Passeriformes; Paridae.
AUCAUCAGAAGUUACUGCUAAUUAAUGGUGGGCUGCUCUGAAGGACUGCCAGCAGUUGGUUUAAUAUAUGUGAACAUCUCUGCUUUUUCCACGUUGGCAUCUCUUAGGAAGAACACCAGUACAACAAGCUGCAAUGACUCUUUCCUGAAAUAAUAUAGUUUGGCUUACUACAGAGCAAUAAAAUACCUAAAUUAAUAUUUUCAUGCCAAAUGCACAAUUAACCCCAUGGGAAACAAAAAGAAAAGCAUUAUACAUUUUUUUAAUAGUUCUUUUUUUAUUAAAACAAUUAAAUAUAUAUUGCAGGUUUUUCAAAAAAGGGAGAAAAUUUUUCUGAUGUAAAUCAUCCCUUGUAACCGUGCAAUAUUUGAUUUUGAUCUAAAGGUGUCAGAGAUGGUAUUGUGUAACAUAAUCCUAGGAGACAAUGUCCAUGUGUGUGUUGAGCUCUUCUGUUUUUGAAAAUAAAGUUGUUCCUGGGUUUUGUGACAUGCUGCACCAUUCAGAAGCUCCGUGGAGUUUUCCCACACCAGUUUGCAUAUUGCAAUUCCUCAGGCUAAAAUGCCAUAUCAGCUAUUCAAGGUGUGCUGGGAAGGAGUUGUACUUUGUUGCUGCUGCCAUCAGAAACAUGUCAUGGAACUUUCCACUGCCUCUACAGACACAAAACUCCACAGACUUCACUGGAAUUGACAGUAUUCCAGGCAGCCACAUAUGCACACAGAUUACUGGUGCCACUCAUCUGUGUUUAAUUCCUGAAAUCCACCACCAGGAACAUCAGUAUUCACAACAGUUGCUUCUCCUCCACUCUUGGCUUACAAGGCUUACAAGAAGGAAGUACCUGAACCCUCAAAUCCAGGUUUGGAAUGUCGAGUUCAAAUCACAGGUCUGUGCUGUCAAUUUGGAAUCUCUGGCAGCAGGAGUCAUUUGAUGAGGAUAACUGGAAAAACAAAAGUCUGAAGCUCAGCUUCCAUGUCCAGGCUGGUUUGGGCUCAGGAUGGACAGGCAGAUGUGAAGGGCUGGAAUGGGGCUGAAGAAACAUUCAUUAUAAGCCUUAUAUGAGAAAAGCCCUGUUAAAGAUCUUUUUAUUUUUCAUCACAGCUCAUUGACCCUGAAGUAAUUAGCAUUAAAUAUCACUUAGGG